AUGAACGGUGGCGGAUCCGGCGGCAAGGCCAAGGUGCCGCAGGCGAUGGCGCCGGUGGAGGGUGGUUUAUUCUCCACAUCCAUGCGCCGGGAGAGGAAGCAGCCUCUGCGUUGUUCUGCACCAAAUUCGGCAAGGGGGGACGCGCAGCCGUCCUCCUCCUGCUCUGCAUCCAUGGCACUCAUCUCGAAAGGGGAGGUCAUCGUUGGAGGAGAGGAUGAUGGUGAAGCAGCAGAGGAUGAUGGUGCCCAGCCAUGGUAUGGAUUUGGGGCGUAUUUCAAGCAGGACAACGAGUUCAUUUGCGGCAGCUAUCGCUAUGAGCAGUCCGUCCACAACGCGCUCCGCAGCGUCUUCGCCGGGCACAACGAGAUCCUCAAUGUCUGGAAGGAUAAAGUGAAGAAAAAGAAGAAAAGAUUACUAGAAGAUUAG
RNAcentral lists this ribosomal RNA (426 nucleotides) under Triticum aestivum (bread wheat). Its description in RNAcentral is "partial small subunit ribosomal RNA". Lineage: Eukaryota; Viridiplantae; Streptophyta; Magnoliopsida; Poales; Poaceae. The record is from RNAcentral.